GACGAACGCUGGCGGCGUGCUUAACACAUGCAAGUCGAACGAGGCCCUCCCUUCGGGGAGGUGUCCUAGUGGCGAACGGGUGAGUAACACGUGGGCAACCUGCCCUCAGCUCUGGGAUAACUCCAAGAAAUUGGGGCUAAUACCGGAUAUGACCGCUGACCGCAUGGUCUGGUGGUGGAAAGAUUUAUCGGCUGAGGAUGGGCCCGCGGCCUAUCAGCUUGUUGGUGGGGUAGUGGCCUACCAAGGCGACGACGGGUAGCCGGCCUGAGAGGGCGACCGGCCACACUGGGACUGAGACACGGCCCAGACUCCUACGGGAGGCAGCAGUGGGGAAUAUUGCGCAAUGGGCGAAAGCCUGACGCAGCAACGCCGCGUGGGGGAUGAAGGCCUCGG
This 393-nucleotide ribosomal RNA is filed under the name uncultured bacterium. RNAcentral describes it as "bacterial SSU rRNA". It matches the Rfam family "Bacterial small subunit ribosomal RNA", at positions 28 to 420 of the family's 1533-position model. The record is from RNAcentral.